Molecule: unclassified non-coding RNA, 400 nt
Filed under: fungal sp.
Lineage: Eukaryota; Fungi
Description: partial internal transcribed spacer region
Rfam family: Eukaryotic small subunit ribosomal RNA (bases 1-46)
Source: RNAcentral
AAGUCGUAACAAGGUUUCCGUAGGUGAACCUGCGGAAGGAUCAUUAACACGUAUCCAACGUUAAACAACCCUGUGAACCUUCAUUCCUGCUCUCCUUGUCCAUUGAUAAAGCAAUCCCUGGUAAAUCACGCGAACGGUUUGAUUCAGGGACCUCUUUUGAUAUGCACUUGGAUUCGAUGCGGCGUCGUAAUUUAGACUUGGGUUCUGGAAGGCCAUCAACGAGUAAAAUCGUUGACGGACGAUAAAGAUGCUGCCUAAAAAGCAGAUCACUGGUCCUCACGGUCAGUGGACAAGUCUCUGGGCUUCGGCCGCCCAUAUUAACCCCAAUUUUCCAUUCGGAGGAUGCGGAAACGCUCCUCAUAAAAACGAACAACUGUUAACAAUGGAUAUCUUGGUUCUC